This 406-nucleotide ribosomal RNA is filed under the name uncultured bacterium. Its description in RNAcentral is "bacterial SSU rRNA". It matches the Rfam family "Bacterial small subunit ribosomal RNA", at positions 8 to 418 of the family's 1533-position model. The record is from RNAcentral.
AGAGUUUGAUCCUGGCUCAGAUUGAACGCUGGCGGCAUGCCUUACACAUGCAAGUCGAACGGCAGCGCGGGGCAACCUGGCGGCGAGUGGCGAACGGGUGAGUAAUAUAUCGGAACGUACCCUGGAGUGGGGGAUAACGUAGCGAAAGUUACGCUAAUACCGCAUACGAUCUAAGGAUGAAAGUGGGGGAUCGCAAGACCUCAUGCUCCUGGAGCGGCCGAUAUCUGAUUAGCUAGUUGGCGGGGUAAAAGCCCACCAAGGCAACGAUCAGUAGCUGGUCUGAGAGGACGACCAGCCACACUGGAACUGAGACACGGUCCAGACUCCUACGGGAGGCAGCAGUGGGGAAUUUUGGACAAUGGGCGCAAGCCUGACCCAGCAAUGCCGCGUGAGUGAAGAAGGCCUU